GCGGGCGUAGCUCAGUUGGUAGAGCUUCAGCCUUCCAAGCUGAAUGUCGCGAGUUCGAGUCUCGUCGCCCGCUCCA
RNAcentral lists this transfer RNA (76 nucleotides) under Desulfobacterales bacterium. RNAcentral describes it as "tRNA-Gly". It matches the Rfam family "tRNA". From Rfam's summary of the family: Transfer RNA (tRNA) molecules are approximately 80 nucleotides in length. The record is from RNAcentral. Lineage: Bacteria; Pseudomonadati; Thermodesulfobacteriota; Desulfobacteria; Desulfobacterales.